CCUACGGGAGGCAGCAGUGGGGAAUAUUGCGCAAUGGGCGAAAGCCUGAAGCAGCGAAGCCGCGUGAGGGAUGAAGGUCUUCGGAUCGGAAAACUCUGUUAGCAGGGAAGAACGGUCACUGUGCUAAUCAGCAGUGAAUUGACGGUACCUGCAAAGGAAGCACCGGCUAACUCCGUGCCAGCAGCCGCGGUAAUACGGAGGGUGCGAGCGUUAAUCGGAAUUACUGGGCGUAAAGCGCGCGUAGGCGGUAUGUCAAGUCAAUGGUGAAAUCCCCGCGCUCAACGUGGGAACUGCCUUUGAAACUGGCAAACUGGAGUGUGUGAGAGGAUAGUGGAAUUCCAGGUGUAGGGGUGAAAUCCGUAGAUAUCUGGAGGAACAUCAGUGGCGAAGGCGACUAUCUGGCACAUAACUGACGCUGAGGAGCGAAAGCGUGGGUAGCAAACAGGAUUAGAUACCCGGGUAGUC
Molecule: ribosomal RNA, 465 nt
Filed under: uncultured bacterium
Lineage: Bacteria
Description: partial 16S ribosomal RNA
Rfam family: Bacterial small subunit ribosomal RNA
Source: RNAcentral